GACGAACGCUGGCGGCGUGCCUAAUACAUGCAAGUUGAGCGCUGAAGGUUGGUACUUGUACCGACUGGAUGAGCAGCGAACGGGUGAGUAACGCGUGGGGAAUCUGCCUUUGAGCGGGGGACAACAUUUGGAAACGAAUGCUAAUACCGCAUAACAACUUUAAACACAAUUUUUAAGUUUGAAAGAUGCAAUUGCAUCACUCAAAGAUGAUCCAGCGUUGUAUUAGCUAUUUGGUGAGGUAAAGGCUCACCAAGGCGAUGAUACAUAGCCGACCUGAGAGGGUGAUCGGCCACAUUGGGACUGAGACACGGCCCAAACUCCUACGGGAGGCAGCAGUAGGGAAUCUUCGGCAAUGGACGAAAGUCUGACCGAGCAACGCCGCGUGAGUGAAGAAGGUUUUCGGAUCGUAAAACUCUGUUGGUAGAGAAGAACGUUGGUAAGAGUGGAAAGCUCAUCAAGUGACGGUAACUACCCAGAAAGGGACGGCUAACUACGUGCCAGCAGCCGCAGUAA
RNAcentral lists this ribosomal RNA (513 nucleotides) under uncultured bacterium. Its description in RNAcentral is "partial 16S ribosomal RNA". It matches the Rfam family "Bacterial small subunit ribosomal RNA", at positions 28 to 523 of the family's 1533-position model. The record is from RNAcentral.